UUACACUUUAAUUGCAUGAUUUUUUGUGAUGUAAUUUCUGGAAACACCCAGUGUACCUCACAGGGCUGAUUGUUUGAUAAACUAGAAGCACCUGAAACCAACCCAAAAAAUAAAUAUAUAAAUAUCCAAGGGGAACUUAAGGUAGAUUGGAAGUGACAGAGAACUGCAGACAGCAGGGAACCAACAAUCCAGGAUGAUGAUAACCAAAAAACUUCCAAGUAAGGACAUUAUCCUCCUGCCCGCACCCCCCACGGCACCACCGAAGCCAGAACACUCUGCGUGUCUCGGGGAGGGGAAGCUGAAACAAGCCAGAUCAGGGGGCAGUCGCGCCCUGGCCCCUGCCCCAAAUUGGUGCUAUGGAAAACACCAAGACAGAGUUGUAUGUCUUUCUGACUUCAUUUCUAGCUGGGCUCAGAACUGGGACCUUUGAAGGGGAACUUCUUUGUCCCUGUUGCUCUCGGCCCAGGGGCCAGUCCCAGAGGGGAAGGAUUGGGGGACCAUGACUGUCCCUCCUGGACACAACAAGAGCCCCCAUGCUCAUGCCACAGCUGGGAGGUGGCCCAGGCCUGGUGGCUGCUGGCCCUGUGUUCCUGACGGCCGUGGAAGCACAGGCUCUUCCAGAAGGUGGUGGAGAGGGUGGUCCAGGGCAGGGGAGAUGUGUGCUGACGCUGGCAGACAAACCGUGGCCUGCUACCUUUAAGAUGUAGACCCAGGCGAGAUUGCAAAACUGCCG
Molecule: long non-coding RNA, 733 nt
Filed under: Marmota monax (woodchuck)
Lineage: Eukaryota; Metazoa; Chordata; Mammalia; Rodentia; Sciuridae
Source: RNAcentral